AAUAAUAAUAGGACGGCAGAGGAGUUUCUGACGGCAGGUUCCCAGGUCAAUCUUGACACCCUUCCACCACACAUGGACACCUACGCUUCCAUUCCACUCCGACGUUCGUGGUGGUUUCCGGACUCCUCGUGCCGCCACGUAGACUUCUCUCUGUCCCGAGACACAAAUCAAGGAUACUGUAUGGGUGACUCUACAACAGCGUCCGCAUGCUUCAGCACCGCCGCAGUCAGUCGAACAAAGCGAAAAGCGGCAAGCCAACCAAAUAUAGAACGGCGUAGCAUCCACCUACUCAUGCGGCAAGCGGCUCCUCGGCACGAUCUCCCUCUGCGACAACGAAGCCUGAACAAGGUAUGCCAUCAAUGACGCUGACAUCCCUCGCGAGUACGUCUUCAUCGCGACAACAGCGUGAAAGGACAGUCAAGGAUCCUCACAGACGUCGAAAAACCUGCUUCCAAUUCCACCAGCGUCUCAAACGUGGGUGCCCCAUCCCACGCAACUCCCUGUCCUGUUGUGCCAGAGCGCACGCUGCCCCACCCCCUGCCACUUCGCCGCUGCGCGAGGCGCAUGCGCGUGAUGAAUACUAUUCACAUAGUUUCCUGUCAGUCCGAGCACUGCAUGAGGUCAUAACAUUUCUCAACUCAGCUCACACUGACGCGGUGCGGGUGCUGCUGUGUGCGUGUGCGUGUGCGUGUGCCGCUGAAUGAUGCACUCAUCUGUGUUGGUCCAAACAGUUUGACUGGCGCAUGAGAAGAUACACAUGCAAAUCACCUUUCGGCUGACGUGCGUGGCACGGGCGCGUGUGCGGGCGGCAGCUUCAUCUUGACCUGUCUGGCACCUGUCUUUACACCUGUCAGUGACAGAGCACGCCCGAAAGUUCAAGAAAGACAAAGACAGCGAGAGCGAAGGCGCUUCGCGAGCUCUGCCGCGACGACACCGCGUUGUCACUGCCGUCGUGUGCGCGCGUGCGUCCGCGUGGGGUGUCUCUGCCGCACACCCUCUCUUCUAGGCCGCCGCACAACUCCCUUGGAAUGGUGGGUGCCCCAUCCCACGCAACUCCCUGUCCUGUUGUGCCAG
Molecule: unclassified non-coding RNA, 1074 nt
Filed under: Leishmania donovani
Lineage: Eukaryota; Euglenozoa; Kinetoplastea; Trypanosomatida; Trypanosomatidae
Description: gene:unknown
Rfam family: Trypanosomatid snoRNA TB11Cs4H1 (bases 815-885)
Source: RNAcentral